Molecule: ribosomal RNA, 326 nt
Filed under: uncultured Chloroflexota bacterium
Lineage: Bacteria; Bacillati; Chloroflexota
Description: bacterial SSU rRNA
Rfam family: Bacterial small subunit ribosomal RNA
Source: RNAcentral
GAUGAACGCUGGCGGCGUGCCUAAUACAUGCAAGUCGAACGGGGAGAUUGUAGCAAUACGGUCUCCCAGUGGCGAACGGGUGAGUAACGCGUUGGUGACCUGCCCCGAAGUGAGGGAUAACAGUUCGAAAGGGCUGCUAAUACCGCAUGUGGUUGGAGAGAUUAGAGGCUUUCCAACUAAAGGUGCAAACCGCUUCGGGAGGGGCCUGCGACCCAUCAGCUAGUUGGUAGGGUAAAAGCCUACCAAGGCGACGACGGGUAGGGGACCUGAGAGGGUGACCCCCCACACUGGCACUGAAACACGGGCCAGACACCUACGGGUGGCUG